This is a long non-coding RNA of Cavia porcellus (domestic guinea pig), 1847 nucleotides long. RefSeq lists it as uncharacterized. Lineage: Eukaryota; Metazoa; Chordata; Mammalia; Rodentia; Caviidae. The record is from RefSeq and is a predicted model, not a curated record. The transcript has 2 exons.
UACCUCCCCUUCCACUCUCCUUUCCUACUCACUCCCUCUCCUCAUCCCCCUCCCAUUCUGUGGGAAGCCGCCUAUGAUGGCGCCCAUUUCCUGCUUCCGGGUUCUUCCCGGCCUGAACAAGCCCGCCAAAUUGUCAUAUCUGCCCAGUUACCCGUGACGCUAGCCUAUCAGCUUGUUAGGCGCGCUUCUCUGUGAUUGGAUACUGCUUCCCCUUAUAAGAGGUUGUUCCUGCCCCCAACGGCGGAAGAGGAACCAACGUUGAGGGUGGCGGACCUUGUUAGGUCCGGUUCGCUGUACGUAAUAAAGUUUGAGAGCUGAUCCUGCUCGAGUUUGGCCUCCUGUCUUCCGCGGCUCCGGUCAUCUGGUGGCCCCCGUACGGGGAAUAAAAGACUCAGCAACGUGCCUCUUCGGCCGGGAGGUGCGAUUGCUGUCGCCUGCGGUACGACGGAGGACCUGGCCCAAUAACAGCGGAAGGCCGCGAGCACCUCUUCUCUUCACCCUGAUCAGCUACGUGAGAUACAGCGGUUCCCGGGACAGGAACCAGGCUGCGAACCGCUGUGGGUCCCGGAAAGAUUGACGCGAGCAGUAAACUCCCCACCAAUUCCUGAUAAAGCACAGGAGGAUAAGCCCGCGGACACAAGUCAACUCGACCCUUCUGGGACCGACGCUCAGCGCCCGAGACCAUCUACAAACUAAAAUGUCUGGUUUGGAGCUUUUUCUAUUCUGUGGGUUCCUAUUAAUCACCCCUGUGAUAUGCUCAGAUUCCACAGAACCACCACAAUAUCUUUGGGGUCCUUGGCACCACCCGCCCACAUUGGCACCUUUUUCGGCGGCCUCGCCCGCCUCACCCAGGGUUUACACCAUCAAUCAAACAGUCCUUGAUUAUGACCCACCCGCUUAACUCCGGUCGACCCUCCAUUUCUCUUCCUUCUGUCCCACGAUUACCUCUUUUUGGAUCCUAAUUGCCAUGGCUAUCCUAGUAGGGCUUGUGGUUAUUAAAUGCUUGUUAGAUCGCCUCAUACAAACUCAGCAGCAGGUUAAGAUCACAGCUAUGGCAGCCAUGCAAAUGGCAGCAGGUGGCCCAUCAGGCCAGCAGGCCGCCGCAUAUCUCCUUCACAUUGCAGAACAUCAGCUAUAAGAGCUGAGUGGGCAAGCCAAUGACGGGUAAGACGGGAAAAGCCCUCCCGGUCAACCUAAGACAGGCUCCACUCAGAUAUACAUGGCCUAUAAGGCCAGGGGUCCCUUCUGGAGUCAAAUUAUUGGCAUUGAGAUGCGAGACCAAGGGUACUGCAGUGCCAUCCGCCCCAAAGGUUGGGGGGAAGGCAGGAAUGAAUGUCUAUAUGCAUCCAGGUUCGGUUCACAAAAGCCUGGCCCUGCGAAAAAAUGAACCACUCACCUUGAGCAUGGUCCUGGCGCAAGGAUAUGCACAAAACAGGGUGAUGCACAGCAGGGUAUAGACCUCUACAUUCUCUCAUGCCUCGGCCUACAAGGUAGGCCCACUCCUAGGUGUCUAACAGCAACAAGGUCAUAGACACCUUGGAGGGACCCACAGACCAUCCUAUUUUAAUAAAUAAAAAAAGGGGGAGAUGUGGGAAGCCGCCUAUGAUGGCGCCCAUUUCCUGCUUCCGGGUUCUUCCCGGCCUGAACAAGCCCGCCAAAUUGUCAUAUCUGCCCAGUUACCCGUGACGCUAGCCUAUCAGCUUGUUAGGCACGCUUCUCUGUGAUUGGAUACUGCUUCCCCUUAUAAGAGGUUGUUCCUGCCCCCAAUGGCGGAAGAGGAACCAACGUUGCGGGUGGCGGACCUUGUUAGGUCCGGUUCGCUGUACGUAAUAAAGUUUGAGAGCUGA